This 466-nucleotide ribosomal RNA is filed under the name uncultured bacterium. RNAcentral's name for it is "partial 16S ribosomal RNA". It matches the Rfam family "Bacterial small subunit ribosomal RNA", at positions 28 to 507 of the family's 1533-position model. The record is from RNAcentral.
GACGAACGCUGGCGGCGUGCUUAACACAUGCAAGUCGAACGGAAAGGCCCUGCUUUUGUGGGGUGCUCGAGUGGCGAACGGGUGAGUAACACGUGAGUAACCUGCCCUUGACUUUGGGAUAACUUCAGGAAACUGGGGCUAAUACCGGAUAGGAGCUCCUGCUGCAUGGUGGGGGUUGGAAAGUUUCGGCGGUUGGGGAUGGACUCGCGGCUUAUCAGCUUGUUGGUGGGGUAGUGGCUUACCAAGGCUUUGACGGGUAGCCGGCCUGAGAGGGUGACCGGCCACAUUGGGACUGAUUCGGCCCAGACUCCUACGGGAGGCAGCAGUGGGGAAUAUUGCACAAUGGGCGGAAGCCUGAUGCAGCAACGCCGCGUGCGGGAUGACGGCCUUCGGGUUGUAAACCGCUUUCGCCUGUGACGAAGCGUGAGUGACGGUAAUGGGUAAAGAAGCACCGGCUAACUACGUG